GAUCAAGCGCAAUAAGGGCGUUUGGUGGAUGCCUAGGCAGUAAGAGGCGAUGAAGGACGUGAUACUCUGCGAUAAGCCAUGGGGAGCCGAGAAUAGGCUUUGAUCCAUGGAUCUCCGAAUGGGGCAACCCACUUGAAUGUUUGUUAUGACCGCCCGCAAGGGCGGCUCAUAACGAGCAUAACAAGUACUUAUGACCUGAAUACAUAGGGUUUUAAGAGCGAACCCGGGGAACUGAAACAUCUAAGUACCCGGAGGAAAGGACAUCAACAGAGACUCCCCCAGUAGCGGCGAGCGAACGGGGACCAGCCGAGCCUUGAGAGUGAGAAGAACGCGUUGGAAAGCGCGGCCAUAGCGGGUGACAGCCCCGUAUUCGAAGCUCGAUGGGACGUAUCAAGUAGGGCGGGACACGUGAAAUCCUGUCCGAAGAUCGGGGGACCACCCUCGAAGGCUAAGUACUCCUUACUGACCGAUAGCGAACCAGUACCGUGAGGGAAAGGUGAAAAGCACCCCGACGAGGGGAGUGAAACAGUCCCUGAAACCGGACGCCUACAAGCAGUCGGAGCCUCCAUGAGAGGUGACGGCGUACCUUUUGUAUAAUGGGUCAUCGACUUGGUGUUACGAGCAAGCUUAAGCCGAUAGGUGUAGGCGCAGCGAAAGCGAGUCUUAAUAGGGCGAAUGAGUUCGUGGCAUCAGACCCGAAACCGAGUGAUCUAGGCAUGUCCAGGAUGAAGGUGAGGUAACACUCACUGGAGGUCCGAACCCACACCUGUUGAAAAAGGUCGGGAUGAGGUGUGCCUAGGGGUGAAAGGCCAAUCAAACUCGGAGAUAGCUGGUUCUCUGCGAAAUCUAUUUAGGUAGAGCGUCGCACGAAUACUCCCGGGGGUAGAGCACUGGAUGGGUAAUGGGGGCCCACAGCCUUACUGAUCCUAACCAAACUCCGAAUACCGGGAAGUACUAUGCGGCAGACACACGGCGGGUGCUAACGUCCGUCGUGGAGAGGGAAACAACCCUGACCUACAGCUAAGGCCCCCAAUUCAUGGCUAAGUGGGAAAGCAGGUGGGACGACCAAAACAACCAGGAGGUUGGCUUAGAAGCAGCCAUCCUUUAAAGAUAGCGUAACAGCUCACUGGUCUAGACAAGUUGUCCUGCGGCGAAGAUGUAACGGGGCUCAAGCCAUGAGCCGAAGCUUAGGGUGUGUAGCAAUACACGCGGUAGCAGAGCGUAGUGUGACAUAGAAGUCUUUACUGUGAAGCCGGCCUGUGAGGGAUCCGGUGGAGUGAUCACUAGCGAGAAUGAUGACAUGAGUAGCGACAAAGGGGGUGAGAGACCCCCUCGCCGAAAGUCCAAGGGUUCCUGCUUAAAGCUAAUCUGAGCAGGGUGAGCCGACCCCUAAGGCGAGGCCGAAAGGCGUAGUCGAUGGGAACCAGGUUAAUAUUCCUGGGCCAGGAGGAUGUGACGGAUCGCGGCUGUUGUUCGACCUUAUCGGAUUGGUCGGGCAGCGAAGCGGUCCCUGGAAAUAGCCCUCCAUGAGAUCGUACCCUAAACCGACACAGGUGGACUGGUAGAGAAUACCAAGGCGCUUGAGAGAACGACGUUGAAGGAACUCGGCAAAAUACCUCCGUAAGUUCGCGAGAAGGAGGCCCGGUUUUUGCGCAAGCAGAGGCCGGGGGCACAAACCAGGGGGUGGCGACUGUUUACUAAAAACACAGGGCUCUGCGAAGUCGCAAGACGACGUAUAGGGUCUGACGCCUGCCCGGUGCUGGAAGGUUAAAAGGAGGAGUGCAAGCUCCGAAUUGAAGCCCCAGUAAACGGCGGCCGUAACUAUAACGGUCCUAAGGUAGCGAAAUUCCUUGUCGGGUAAGUUCCGACCUGCACGAAUGGCGUAACGACUUCCCCGCUGUCUCCAACGUCGACUCAGCGAAAUUGAAUUGCCUGUCAAGAUGCAGGCUCCCCGCGGUUAGACGGAAAGACCCCGUGCACCUUUACUACAGCUUCAGACUGGCAUCAGGCUGGGCAUGUGCAGGAUAGGUGGUAGGCAUCGAAGCAGGGACGCCAGUCUCUGUGGAGCCAUCCUUGAGAUACCACCCUUGCGCUGCUUGAUGUCUAACCGCGGACCGUCAUCCGGUUCCGGGACCCUCUGUGGCGGGUAGUUUGACUGGGGCGGUCGCCUCCCAAACAGUAACGGAGGCGCGCGAAGGUUGGCUCAGAGCGGUCGGAAAUCGCUCGUCGAGUGCAAUGGCAUAAGCCAGCCUGACUGCAAGACAGACAAGUCGAGCAGAGACGAAAGUCGGCCAUAGUGAUCCGGUGGUCCCGAGUGGAAGGGCCAUCGCUCAACGGAUAAAAGGUACGCCGGGGAUAACAGGCUGAUACUGCCCAAGAGUCCAUAUCGACGGCAGUGUUUGGCACCUCGAUGUCGGCUCAUCUCAUCCUGGGGCUGGAGCAGGUCCCAAGGGUAUGGCUGUUCGCCAUUUAAAGAGGUACGUGAGCUGGGUUUAGAACGUCGUGAGACAGUUCGGUCCCUAUCUGCCGUGGGUGCAGGAUACUUGAGAGGAGUUGCCCCUAGUACGAGAGGACCGGGGUGAACGAUCCACUGGUGGACCAGUUGUCGUGCCAACGGCAGUGCUGGGUAGCUAUGAUCGGAAAGGAUAACCGCUGAAGGCAUCUAAGCGGGAAGCCCCCCUCAAAACAAGGUAUCCCCAUCAGGACCGUGGAAGACCACCACGUCGAUAGGCCGGAGAUGUAAGCGCAGCAAUGUGCUCAGUUGACCGGUACUAAUCGUCCGAUCGGCUUGACCUGA
Molecule: ribosomal RNA, 2797 nt
Filed under: Wenxinia saemankumensis
Lineage: Bacteria; Pseudomonadati; Pseudomonadota; Alphaproteobacteria; Rhodobacterales; Roseobacteraceae
Description: bacterial LSU rRNA
Rfam family: Bacterial large subunit ribosomal RNA
Source: RNAcentral